RNAcentral lists this ribosomal RNA (433 nucleotides) under uncultured bacterium. RNAcentral's name for it is "partial 16S ribosomal RNA". It matches the Rfam family "Bacterial small subunit ribosomal RNA", at positions 29 to 507 of the family's 1533-position model. The record is from RNAcentral.
AACGAACGCUGGCGGCAUGCCUAACACAUGCAAGUCGAACGAAACCUUCGGGUCCAGUGGCGCACGCGUGCGUAACGCGUCGUAACCUGCCCCUAGAGUCGCAAUAACUCCCCGAAAGGGGUGCUAAUACCGGAUAAUGUCCUCGGACCAAAGAUUUAUCGCCCUUGGAUGGGGCCGCGUUGGAGUAGCUAGUUGGUAGGGUAAAAGCCUACCAAGGCGAACAUGCAUAGCUGGUCCGAGAGGAUGCUCAGCCACACUGGGACUCAGACCCGGCCCGGACCCCUACGGGAGGCAGAAGUGGGGAAUACUGGACACUGGCCGCAGGCGUGAUCCAGCAAUGCCAGGUGAGUGAUGAAGGGCUUAGCGUUGUACAGCCCUUUUCUCCGGGAUGAUACUGACAGUACCGGGAGAAUAAGCACCGGCUAACUCCGUG